This 1120-nucleotide long non-coding RNA is filed under the name Homo sapiens (human). RNAcentral's name for it is "non-protein coding lnc-PKDCC-9:1". Lineage: Eukaryota; Metazoa; Chordata; Mammalia; Primates; Hominidae. The record is from RNAcentral.
ACUGUGAGUUGGCUGCGUUUCUGUCUGCCUGUGUCUGUGUGAAAGGUCUGCCAGGGCCUCCUAGGCCUGCUCCUUGUGGAGGAGUGUCCAGAGGCAAUGUUGGAAGUGACAUCUCAUUCCCUGACGCUCCUGAGUCCCACAGACGCCCAUCAGGCCGGUCUGAGGAGGGGCAAGUGCAUCAGGACAGACCUGGCUCGGGUCUCCUAUUUCCUCCCAGGGCCUGGCAGAGGACUUGCUCUGAAGGGAGCCCCUCCCCAGGCCUAGAUCAGGCUACUUGGAAGUCCCUGAAGUGGUGGAAACUUCAGCAGGCCACUCGGGCUCAGGUGAUGUGGGCUAAGUUGGGAAACUCCAUCUCUGUUCUGCUUCCGAGCUUGAAGCCAUCCUACCCUGGAGGCAGGCAGACAAAGCCACCACCAUGCUUGCCCCCAGCCUUGGGCCAGGGCAUACCUCCCAAGCCCUGGUUUUAUUUGAAAUGGCUGGACAACACCACUUCAUGUAGAGAUCAUGGAUCCAUCCACCUUGUGGAGCCCUAAGCUGAGAAAUGAGGUACACCAGCAUGGGGAGCAGAGGUGGGGGGAUGGUGGGCUACAGAAACAGGUGCAAAGCAACUAAGCCAAACUCAGAGCCUCAAGCCAGGGUAAGAGAGAGAGAGUGGGGGUUGGCAUUGAAGUUAGUAUCAAGGUGUGCAGUUCAGAGUGGUCUUGGGGAAGCGGUGGUGCUAGACCCUCUGGACUGGGCCCACCUCGGAAUGGCAGGUAAGAAAGGGCAGGGCAGGGUCUGGGUAGCAAGUUCUCUGUGUAUGCAGGAAGCAAAGAUGAGAGCUUUCUAGCAAGUUUCACAUCUGGCCUGUGUUUCCUCUGGUCUCUGCUUUCAUUUAUACUGUCCCCACCCAAUUCCUUCCUCUUUCUCUCAUUCAUUCAACAAACAGGUGGUGCAUUUACUGUAAGGCAAGCACAAUUCUAGACAGCAGGUUUGGAUGUGUAUCCCCUCUAAAUCUCAUAAUGAAUCGUAAUCCCCAUUGUUGGAGGUGGGAAGGUGUCUUGGUCAUGGGGGUGGGUCCUGCAUGGCUUGGUGCUCUCCUCACCAUAGUGAGUUCUCACGAGAUCUGGUCAUUUAAAAG